Sinocyclocheilus grahami is the source of this 908-nucleotide long non-coding RNA. RefSeq lists it as uncharacterized. NCBI's taxonomy places the organism in Eukaryota, Metazoa, Chordata, Actinopteri, Cypriniformes, Cyprinidae. The record is from RefSeq and is a predicted model, not a curated record. The transcript is spliced from 3 exons.
GCUUCGAUGCGUCUCUGUCGUCAUCGGCAAGCGACGAGUGAUUCAACUCGGAUGCGACAAGUGUGAUAUUUAAGCGUCAGUAACGAUAUUGCGUGUGUUUAUAAAGAACAGUUUGCUCGGUAACAUUUCGGUAAUGUCCUCUCGAUUGUGUUUCUUUUUAUUCAGACCGAGAAUACCCAGAUCACGCGGUGCGGGAAGUCUUUCAUCACGUACAGCUAGAAGCGAGCACGAGGAGGCACAGAAACGAGCUGCGAACAGCUCUUUAUACCUCACUGACUCGUUACUGGGGUCUGCUGUGUCACACAGAGGCGGACUGAGUUUCUGCAGGAGCUUCUCCUCUUCUGUGUGCAGGACAGCUGCAGUCAACACACUAUCACCUGCAAAGUGUGCUCUAUGAAGACUAUAUCCAAGCUGGCCUAUCACAGGGGUGUUGUCAUAGUAACUUGUCCCGGAUGUAAGCACCACCACGUGGUCGCAGAUCACCUGCAGUGGAGGGGAAAAGAAACAUAGAGGAGAUCCUGGCUGCUGAAGGAGAAUCAGUGCGAAGAGUUCAAGAAAACGAGGCCCUGGAAAUUGUUGCAGAGGAAUCAAUAAAAGAGGCAUCGAGAAAUAAUCCAGAUGAACAGAAACCACCACAUCUGAGCGAUGAUUCAGACAAAACAUGACUGACAUUGUCAACUGCAUCACUGGACAUUUAUUAUUGUGAUAUUUUUAAUAAUCUGAUCACUUUGGAGUAGUUGUUUUUAAGUGUUUGGCUCCCCCUUGUGGUCACUGCAACAUUUUCACUUGAAUGCCCUUUGAUAUUUUCAACUGCAUGAAUGCAACCAAAUCAAUAGUUUUUGCAACACUUUUACGCUGUUCACGAGUUACAUACGUAUAUAUUAAUGUAUUUGUUUUAUUUUUGUUAU